Long non-coding RNA from Columba livia (rock pigeon), 3163 nucleotides. RefSeq lists it as uncharacterized. The record is from RefSeq and is a predicted model, not a curated record. Lineage: Eukaryota; Metazoa; Chordata; Aves; Columbiformes; Columbidae. The transcript is spliced from 3 exons.
CCUGUGAACAGAAGAGACAUGACAUUCAUUCUCCAGUCCAUUUUCCUACUGCUCAGCAACAGCCUAUAUUAUGCUAUUUAUCUACCCCCAUCAAGGUUUAUUUUGAGGCAGAUGGGGGACAGACGAAGGGGAAUUUCUAUCUGCAGCUGUAUUAAGCCAUGGCAGAGAUCCAUCCUGCUAAAUAUCCCUUUGGCCAGUGGCAGAGUAGUCAAGGAGUCCUGCAGCAGGACAUGAACCAAGUGAUGCUUCCCAGAUCUGCCUUUCACAAAGUGUUCCCAUUGCAUCCGAUUUAACUGCCACCAGUAGACCAACCCUCCUUCAAUUCACAGACUCCCUCUAACUCAUUUACACUCCUGGAGUCCACGGUUUCUUCCAGCAGUGAGUUUCACAACCCAUGGAUGUGAUGUGAGAAAACCUACUGCCUUUGGUCCAAAGUUGCUGUCCAAUCUAUCACUUUCCUACAUGACGCUGUGCCUCUCCUCCUUGUACAUCACCCAUUUGCCUGUCCCAUAUCAGAGGAACUUCCAACUCUUAUCAAGAAUUGCACUUUAUGUCGUAUUCUUCUAGUUUUGGAAGAACACAAGCAACCCUGUUUCCCUCCACAGUUAAGCCUUCAAAUCGACAAACAGCAGAAAUGGUCAAGUCUACUCAUUUAAAGGGAGACAAGAGGGGGAAGUCAGGUCAAAUCCCCAAAACUGCAGUCUGGGUUGACAACCACAGUUUUGGGGGACAUUCAGAGCAGGUUCGAGUGGCAAUGCUCACCUGAGAGCUCUCAGCAGGUCAUGAUGGGAAGGCUUCUUGUCACCAUUCUGCAGAGACUUCACCGAUGCUCCAGAGCUCACUGGGAGCUUCAGACUCAGGAGGUACCUAAUGGACAAGAGGAGAUGCGUGAAGCACUGACAUCCAACCAUGCUAUGGAAUACAUUGUUUGCUUCAUUGUGAAGAGUUCCAGGCAGACAUGACGAAAGUGACAAAACAGCUCAAGAAAAGAGACGUCCCGUGCAGCAUUCAUGAAAUGCGCUGUUUGGAAGCAAAGAACGGGCAAACAGGAAAGCGCUUUAACCAUUGAGACGACGGGAUCCCAGCAUGUUCUUGGCACCGGCGUGAACAAUGGGGUGAUGUCACGAGCCAGAAUUCCCCACGGUGGGUGGAAGCCCAGCAACUCAUCAUAAUUCUUGUCCUGGGACAUUAGCGAAAUUUUUCCACAGUUGAUCAUCUCCUACUGAGUCUCUGUUAGGAACUAUAAGGAAGAGACAUUGUCAAGUGAAGCUUCCUUUGGGAGAUUCGUCGCCCCCCACCUCCCCACCCCCCCAGAGCAGCACAUCAGUUGUUAUAGAUCAUUGUUUUCUGCUGACUCCGAGGAAUUUCAGUGGUGGUGCCGAGCACAGGGCUGCCUGAAGAACAUAUUCCAUAUUGUGAAGGGCACACACAAGGGUCUGGGUACUUGCAAGAGCAAAGGGGCGGGAGAUCCCUAGAGCCUUGGGCAGACACUGUUGGUGUGGAGCGUUGUCCUUGCUGUUCCAAAGGUGCUGAGAAUGGCGAGGAGCUUAGGAGACAUGUUCUUGCAUGAACAGUUGUGUUUGGAGAAUUUCAAUUGAGCUUAACGCUACUAAAUGAUUUGAGCAAUAUGGGGGCAACCUCUGGGUCCCAGACUCUCUUAUUUUGGCUUAAAGUCAGUUCUGCGGAGAGCACCCCAAGCUGACAUGCAGCAGCCAGGUAUAUUCUGAAGCAGCUCUUGAAUUCUCCUUUAGCUCCCUUGUUUUGACAGGGACUGGUCCCAUGAAACGACUGGCAUAGCCUGGCAAUCCUCACAGGUUGUGAUGGCUUUUGGUCAUUAUUGGGUUAUUACUGCAAAUCCAGGCUGCUCUCACCUUCCAGGAUCUGCUCUGCAAGACCUCGCUCAGCCUCUCUGCAGGGCACACCAGCUCGGGGCUCCCACUUGUGUUUGAUUGCAUGCAGGUUCCUGUCAGUAAGAUGAGUAGUGGGACUUCUUGGCUGAUUACUCUUUAAACAGCAAAAAGGACUUUAAUGAGUCUAAGCCAGUCAAGAAAUGGCAGCUCUAAAGAAAAGAAGCACUAAGACAUGCAUUGUUUGUGUGGUUUACUGAUAUAGAUUUGUCCCCGUUCUAUGUUUGUCUGUGGUUUGCGUUAUCAGUGCCUGAAUAUACCAUGAAGGGUUGUUUACUCUGGUUCCAGCUUCCAGAUCUUUGUGUGUUUUCCCCAUUCGAGGAGGUCCCAGAGGAACCAGUGUCCCUGGCACACAUGGAGAGGUGGCCUGGCCCAGAGCGUUCGGGGAAAAAGGACUUGAGUGUCUCAGGGACCUUUGAAAUGUGUUGAGCUGUUUGUAGUCGAAGGUGGUUAUCAUUCUCUUACGUAAGUGUCAUUAAUUUUAUAGCAAAGUAACUAAUCCUUUAGUAAAAUAAGAGCAGGUAGCAGGGCCAAGAUUUGCCUUUAGGACACCAGUUCAAAUUAAAUCCAGGAAGGCACUAGCCAGACUGGGGGUGUUCUGAAUAUAUGGAUGUGUGAUCAGCUUUGGAAGGGACAUUCAACUUCAUGCAUCAAGGCUCUGCUAUUGUAUUGUGUUAGACCUGGAUGAGACGCCCAGCAGGAGCAGGCCAUACCUGAUCCUUUAUGGCAAGACUUGUCCACUGUCCUCUUCAGCAUCUUCUGCUGGUUACGGCCACAGGCCUGAUUUAGUCUGAUUUUACAGCUGUUAUUUUAAAGUCAUAACCAAUGUGCUCCCAAUGCCACCCGUCGACACUGCUGCGGGAGCUCUGGUAGAGGGGCAUGGGCAAAAACUUGCAAUGCUCCCACACCAAGAGAUUUGCUGAAUAUUUUCAGCACCACCCAUUCUUUCUUUUAAAAAUAUAAGGGCUCUAAAGGCUGUGAACUCAUCCUGUUCUUUCCUCACUACUUGGGAAGCCAAGCCUGUUCAUCCCUUUUUGUGGAUGGAAAAGUUGCACCAAAGGGAACCAUUUGCAGGGCGGUUUUCUCUUCCAUAAAUCACGUGGAGAUGCGCAUUCCUCCUGCUCAGCAUCGCCUGCACAUCUUGGGGUCUCGGAAGAGCUCAGUCUGGGGAAGAGAAGGUUUCAUGGUGCAUGAGGAAGGACACCCAAAAACCUUCUUAGCCACCCCCAGGCGGACUUCUCUCCCAACACCACCAC